GGAUGCAGAACUCGAGUGGUUGAGUGUCCCCCUUUUAAGGGGACAGUUUUGGUUCAACUCCAAAUGUUUCCA
This 72-nucleotide transfer RNA is filed under the name Cyclocybe aegerita. RNAcentral describes it as "tRNA-Lys". It matches the Rfam family "tRNA". Rfam says of the family: Transfer RNA (tRNA) molecules are approximately 80 nucleotides in length. Lineage: Eukaryota; Fungi; Basidiomycota; Agaricomycetes; Agaricales; Hemipholiotaceae. The record is from RNAcentral.